Molecule: ribosomal RNA, 255 nt
Filed under: Vibrio parahaemolyticus
Lineage: Bacteria; Pseudomonadati; Pseudomonadota; Gammaproteobacteria; Vibrionales; Vibrionaceae
Description: partial 23S ribosomal RNA
Rfam family: Bacterial large subunit ribosomal RNA
Source: RNAcentral
UACUACAGCUUGGCACUGAACAUUGACCCUACAUGUGUAGGAUAGGUGGGAGGCUUUGAAGCACGUACGCCAGUAUGUGUGGAGCCGUCCUUGAAAUACCACCCUUGUAGUGUUGAUGUUCUAACGUUGACCCCUUAUCGGGGUUGCGGACAGUGCCUGGUGGGUAGUUUGACUGGGGCGGUCUCCUCCCAAAGAGUAACGGAGGAGCACGAAGGUGGGCUAAUCACGGUUGGACAUCGUGAGGUUAGUGCAAUG